This 611-nucleotide ribosomal RNA is filed under the name Pisaura mirabilis. RNAcentral's name for it is "eukaryotic LSU rRNA". The stretch from base 358 to 611 matches the Rfam family "Eukaryotic large subunit ribosomal RNA", at positions 665 to 887 of the family's 3401-position model. The record is from RNAcentral. Lineage: Eukaryota; Metazoa; Arthropoda; Arachnida; Araneae; Pisauridae.
ACGCAUUUGUCUCUCGCUCGAAGGACGCCGCAGCCGGUUGGGCAGUGAAAACGUGACGGCCUGGAAGGCGGACGAUGGCAGGUGGCCGGUGGCGAGUCUCGUGCUCGUCGCCGGUUGUUAGCCGGUCCGUCGGUGGCUCGUCGUUCGACCGAGGUAUCGAGAAGCCCUUAGGGGCCCUCGCGUCUCCUCCUUUACGGAAGUCGGGACGUGCUGUCGCGAGCGAAGGCAACCGUUCCGCCGCACUCCUUCGGAGUGGGCGAGCGAAAGGUCGGCGCCGUCGGUGACAGUGGACCCGCUGGAGGUCGGAGGCUUGCGGCGAGUAGGUCGGUCACCCACCCGACCCGUCUUGAAACACGGACCAAGGAGUCUAACAUGUGCGCGAGUCAAUGGGUCUCGAAUAAGCCCAGAGGCGCAAUGAAAGUGGAGGUCGGCAGCUCGUCGACCGAGUCGGGAUCCCCUUCCCUCGCGGAGGGGGCGCACCGACGACCCGUCCUAUGCGGCUCGCCGCUUGGGCGGAGUGUGAGCGUACACGUUGGGACCCGAAAGAUGGUGAACUAUGCCCGGACAGGACGAGGCCAGAGGAAACUCUGGUGGAGGUCCGCAGCGGUUCU